Tripterygium wilfordii is the source of this 1617-nucleotide RNA transcript. It is a transcript of the gene named hydroxyethylthiazole kinase, with no coding region annotated. The transcript has 6 exons. Lineage: Eukaryota; Viridiplantae; Streptophyta; Magnoliopsida; Celastrales; Celastraceae. The record is from RefSeq and is a predicted model, not a curated record.
AGUUAAACACCUAAACGCUAAACUGUCCAGGGGAAGAGACAAACAGAAACUGCAAUGGAACUUGAACCCGCCAUGUCACCUGACCCGGCUAACACCGGUUGGGGGCCGACGGUAUGGACUUUUCUCUCCAAGGUCGGCAGCGAUUCACCGCUCGUGCAAUGCAUCACAAACUUCGUCACCAUGGAUCUUGUGGCCAACACUCUCCUUGCCGCUGGAGCCUCGCCCGCCAUGCUCCACUCUCUAGAGGAAAUCCCCGAUUUCACUCCACAAGCUAACGCGCUCUGCAUCAACGUCGGCACACUCUCGCCUGACUGGAUACCGUCCAUGAACGCUGCCGCGGAGCUUGCUUCCAAAUUGGGGAAGCCGUGGGUUCUUGAUCCUGUUGCUGCUGGGGCUUCGGGUUUUCGAAUGAAGGCUUGUUUGGAGCUUGUGGGGUUGAAGCCCUCUGUUAUUAGGGGGAAUGGGUCUGAGAUUAUAGCACUCUCCAAGGCUUCCGUUGGAAACACCAAGGGCGUAGACAGCUCCCAUGAAUCCAUGGACGCAGUGGAGGCAGCGAAAUCGUUAGCUCAUACAAGUGGUUGUAUAGUUGCAGUAUCAGGAGCUGUUGACAUCAUUACUGACGGGGAGCAGGUAAUUGGUGUGUAUAAUGGGGUAUCGAUGUUGCAAAAGAUUACUGGAACAGGAUGUUCAGUCACUGCUCUUAUUGCUGCCUUUGUUGCUGUUGACCCAUCACAUGCUCUGGAAGCAACAGCAUCAGCUUUGUCCGUAUUUGGUAUUGCUGCUGAGAAAGGAAUGGACUUGGCCAAGGGUCCUGCUUCGUUGCGGAUGCAUUUGAUAGAUUCUCUGUACGGGCUUGAUCAAGAUGCUGUACAGACUUGUGUAAAUAUCUCCAGUCUUUGAUGGAACAAAGAAUCAUACACGGAUAGAUGGAUGGAAGAAUAGGAAGGAUAUUCUGAUGUACUUGUACUAGCAAAAGGCAAUAACUCAGCAGCAAUAGCAUAUUCAAGGUCCCACUGACAUGAUUGUGUUUCUGCCCAUCUAAUACUCAAGCUUGGCAAUUCAGUGAAGUUUGGAUAUCCUUGAGACUUUGUUCAUAGUCAUCGCCUUAAUCACCAGAGAUACCAUUGGGUUCUCUCUAUGGAUUUAGAUUAAGCUGUUUCUGUUCCAAAUGAAUGCUGAAGAGAGGAAGAGAGCUCUUCAAAUACUCCAAACAUGCUAAGAUUUGCACUGGUUCUUUCUUUGUGGAGCUUUGUAGAGAAUCACGGGCUCGAAUCACCUUGGCAUGAGAAAGAUAUUGCAUCACGUGGAUGAAAGUACUUGAAUAUUAUGCAAUGUUGUUUAUUCAGGUGGAGAUGUAAAUAUGCAAUCCGCAGAGGAUGUAAACUCAAUGUUUGAUCGUAUUCCGUCGGAUGUGGAGAGAAGGUUUGAGAUCACAAGUCACAACACCACAGGCCGGCUAAGAUGGAGUAAGCAGAGGCAACUCAAAUGGUGGUGACAGAACAAGAUUUUUCAGUUUUGCCAUUACCAAAUUACAACAGGAAACUGUAAAUGUUCUUUAGACAGAAGUACAAUGGAGAAAUUGGAAUGUUUUGAUUCAAUACAAGGAAAUUGACAAUC